This is a long non-coding RNA of Phodopus roborovskii (desert hamster), 579 nucleotides long. RefSeq lists it as uncharacterized. The record is from RefSeq and is a predicted model, not a curated record. Lineage: Eukaryota; Metazoa; Chordata; Mammalia; Rodentia; Cricetidae. The transcript is spliced from 3 exons.
AACACGCCAUAAUCCGAUAGACUCUGACUUUUCCUCCAGCAGGCAGCCUGGCUUCUGGGACUCUAACGGGACCUAGAGAUGCCUCCUCCAGCCUUAGGCCAAGCGAAUACCAGCUCAUUCCUAAGAUAAGGAUCCUGAUGCCAUCUGCCAGAUCCUGGGGCGGCAAGUGGCAAGCCAGGGAUGAGCCAGAAUUCAGCUGAGAGCAAAGGCUCCACCCUGAGGAUGAGACACUGGAAACAGCUGACAGCAGGGAGGAUUCCCUUUUGCCAUACCAGGUCAACCAAACAGAGGACCUAGAGUUUACCCCAGAACAUCUAGGGAAGAGUUACCCAGCAGAGGAAGUCUCUGAAGAGUUUGGGAGCAAGAGUUGUGAACCACCACAGAGAGGAGGAUAUCAUGUAGGACUCAAAGCAAGAUGGUCACAGAGAAGUUGAAUUCUGGAUGUCAAGGGUCUAUGGCAGCUGCUGACAUCUCACCGAAUUUCAGUGAAGCUCCUGAGUCUCUGUUUCCACUGGCUCACCUCAAAAAGAGGAAUGCUGCAAAAAGGAACCUGGAUAUACCCAAAUCUCUCCCAUCAAG